UACGAAGGGGGCUAGCGUUGCUCGGAAUCACUGGGCGUAAAGGGUGCGUAGGCGGGUUAUUAAGUCAGAGGUGAAAUCCUGGAGCUCAACUCCAGAACUGCCUUUGAUACUGAUAGUCUUGAGUAUGGGAGAGGUGAGUGGAACUGUGAGUGUAGAGGUGAAAUUCGUAGAUAUUCGCAAGAACACCAGUGGCGAAGGCGGGUCUCUGGACAGUUCCUGACACUGAGGCACGAAGGCCAGGGGAGCAAACGGG
RNAcentral lists this ribosomal RNA (253 nucleotides) under uncultured bacterium. Its description in RNAcentral is "partial 16S ribosomal RNA". It matches the Rfam family "Bacterial small subunit ribosomal RNA", at positions 524 to 776 of the family's 1533-position model. The record is from RNAcentral.